UAUGCUAAGGUAGCAUAAUAAUUUGCUUNAUAAUUGAAAGAUAGAAUGAAUGGUAUUCCUAAAAGUAAUUAUUUUAUUUUUAAAUUUAAUUUUUUUAAAGUUGAAAAUUACUUUGUUUAUUUUUUAGACGAUAAGACCCUAUGAAGCUUUAUUAAUAAUAUAAAUUAUUAAAAUAAAAAUUAAUUUUUUUGGGGCAAAAAAAAAUUUUUUUAUUUUUUUCUAGUUAAAUUUUGAUCUUUAAGAAUUUUAAGAAAAAGCUACUCUAGGGAUAACAGCAUAAUUUU
Molecule: ribosomal RNA, 284 nt
Filed under: Boeckella brasiliensis
Lineage: Eukaryota; Metazoa; Arthropoda; Copepoda; Calanoida; Centropagidae
Description: partial 16S ribosomal RNA
Source: RNAcentral